Mustela erminea (ermine) is the source of this 456-nucleotide long non-coding RNA. RefSeq lists it as uncharacterized. The record is from RefSeq and is a predicted model, not a curated record. The transcript is spliced from 2 exons. Lineage: Eukaryota; Metazoa; Chordata; Mammalia; Carnivora; Mustelidae.
CAUAAGUUUUGAGCAUUUACUAAUUAUUAAAUUAUUUACUCUGGAGAGCCGAAACUGUUACUGAUACGGUCCCCCGUGCGUUAAAAAGAGCUGCUCCAGUCUGAUGGCUUCCAAUACCAUCUGUUUACCUGAAGACUCCUGACUUGGUAACUCUAGUCUGACACUGGGAUGCAAACAGUGUUAAACUCCAGACCUGUAUAUAUCCAAUUGUUUACUCAGCUGCCAUUAGCAUGUGUGCUGGACAUCCUGAAGCUAACCUGCACCACAGAGGAAUUGCUGACAUUCACCCAACCUGUUCCUUCAACAGUCUUCUUCCCAACAAUUGAUGGCAACUCCUUCUUUCUAGUUGCUCAGGCCAUAAAUCUGUCUUUGUGUCUUUUUUCACCCCAAAUCCAAACCCAAUCCAACUCUGAAUUCUGGUGUCUCUGUCUUCAAAUAUAUCCUGAACUGAACUGC